UCGCCCUUACUGAGACACGGCCCAGACUCCUACGGGAGGCAGCAGUGGGGAAUAUUGCACAAUGGGCGAAAGCCUGAUGCAGCGACGCCGCGUGAGGGAUGACGGCCUUCGGGUUGUAAACCUCUUUCAGUAGGGAAGAAGCGAAAGUGACGGUACCUGCAGAAGAAGCGCCGGCUAACUACGUGCCAGCAGCCGCGGUAAUACGUAGGGCGCAAGCGUUAUCCGGAUUUAUUGGGCGUAAAGAGCUCGUAGGCGGUUUGUCGCGUCUGCCGUGAAAGUCCGAGGCUCAACCUCGGAUCUGCGGUGGGUACGGGCAGACUAGAGUGAUGUAGGGGAGACUGGAAUUCCUGGUGUAGCGGUGAAAUGCGCAGAUAUCAGGAGGAACACCGAUGGCGAAGGCAGGUCUCUGGGCAUCUACUGACGCUGAGGAGCGAAAGCAUGGGGAGCGAACAGGAUUAGAUACCCUGGUAGUCCAUGCCGUAAACGUUGGGCACUAGGUGUGGGGAACAUUCCACGUUUUCCGCGCCGUAGCUAACGCAUUAAGUGCCCCGCCUGGGGAGUACGGCCGCAAGGCUAAAACUCAAAGGAAUUGACGGGGGCCCGCACAAGCGGCGGAGCAUGCGGAUUAAUUCGAUGCAACGCGAAGAACCUUACCAAGGCUUGACAUGUUCCAGACCGCCUCAGAGAUGGGGUUUCCCUUCGGGGCUGGUUCACAGGUGGUGCAUGGUUGUCGUCAGCUCGUGUCGUGAGAUGUUGGGUUAAGUCCCGCAACGAGCGCAACCCUCGUUCCAUGUUGCCAGCACGUAAAGGUGGGGACUCAUGGGAGACUGCCGGGGUCAACUCGGAGGAAGGCGGGGGACGACGAAGGGCGAUUC
Molecule: ribosomal RNA, 875 nt
Filed under: uncultured bacterium
Lineage: Bacteria
Description: bacterial SSU rRNA
Rfam family: Bacterial small subunit ribosomal RNA
Source: RNAcentral